This 193-nucleotide unclassified non-coding RNA is filed under the name Funneliformis mosseae. RNAcentral's name for it is "partial contains 5.8S ribosomal RNA and internal transcribed spacer 2". The stretch from base 1 to 71 matches the Rfam family "5.8S ribosomal RNA", at positions 84 to 154 of the family's 154-position model. Lineage: Eukaryota; Fungi; Glomeromycota; Glomeromycetes; Glomerales; Glomeraceae. The record is from RNAcentral.
GUGAAUCAUCGAAUUUUUGAACGCAAAUUGCACUCCCUGGUAUUCUGGGGAGUAUGCCUGUUUGUGGGUCGUUAGAAAAAAAAUCGAAUCGAUGCUCUUUUUUUUAUGGGUGAUCGCGUCGGUAUUGAGCUGUCUUUCAAAUGUUAAUUUAUGUCUAAGUGGCUUGAAAUUUAUCCAUCCGGUACGAUUAAAG